This 151-nucleotide ribosomal RNA is filed under the name uncultured freshwater bacterium. Its description in RNAcentral is "partial 16S ribosomal RNA". It matches the Rfam family "Bacterial small subunit ribosomal RNA", at positions 381 to 524 of the family's 1533-position model. The record is from RNAcentral.
GCCUGAUCCAGCCAUGCCGCGUGUGUGAAGAAGGUCUUCGGAUUGUAAAGCACUUUAAGUUGGGAGGAAGGGCAGUAAGUUAAUACCUUGCUGCUUUGACGUUACCAACAGAAUAAGCACCGGCUAACUUCGUGCCAGCAGCCGCGGUAAU